This is a long non-coding RNA of Pollicipes pollicipes, 834 nucleotides long. RefSeq lists it as uncharacterized. The transcript has 4 exons. The record is from RefSeq and is a predicted model, not a curated record. NCBI's taxonomy places the organism in Eukaryota, Metazoa, Arthropoda, Thecostraca, Pollicipedomorpha, Pollicipedidae.
GUGCGCCGUCCAGCUCGGUUGGAACGUGUCAGUGCUACGUCGACCGGACCCAGUAUGGGGGCUCGUGUGCUCAUCGUGUUGGCUUUGGCUGUAGUGGUGUGUCAAGCCGCUUCAACAAGGCGAGUAAUUCCCGGUGUUUGUCUGGACGGUGAGAGGAAGACCGACGGUUGUAACCGGUGCUCCUGCUUGGGAGGCGCCUGGGCUUGCACCCUCAGAGCCUGCGUCGACCCCGCAGAUACAUUUCCUGGAUCGCUGACAUGCAAGCUGGCUCCCCACAUCAAAGGGUGUUGAAAAAUUCCGCCACGAUAUCAAGAAUACCUGCUUGACUAAAUUAGGCAGGACAAUUGUUGACUGAUCAAAGAACAUGACAUGGCAACCAAGACCCGAGUUCGUAUGCACAAUUUCUUUCCUGAUUGUACGCCUUGUAUUACAUCUGAGGGGCAUGUUUAGGAAGUUAAGCCGUUCGUUCAUUGUAUGCGCGACUGAAUUUUUCCACUUUUAAUUGGAAAUGUAUGUCCUAAAAACGUCUGUCAGGUGAGACAAAUAUAAACGGAACACCGCAUUGAUGUAUGACUGGCUAAAAGCAUCGAAAGGAUUUUACUCCAACGAGCGAACAAGCGGGCUGAAAACUGAUGAGGUGGGCCUUUAAUUUGCAUUUAACAAACCUUGCAUUGAAACAAAAACUUUCUGCUAAAGUGCACGAAUGUGUGUGUCUGAGCCUAAAUCUAUUUCUAAAUACAUAUAGUCUGAUAUGCAACAUCGAAUACUAAACUAGCAUAUAGGUACCAUGUAUGUAUGUACACGCAUGUGUGUCACACUUGUAUGGAUAUACGC